AGUGGGGAAUAUUGCGCAAUGGGGGCAACCCUGACGCAGCAAUGCCGCGUGCGGGAUGACGGCCUUCGGGUUGUAAACCGCUUUCAGCAGGGAAGAUAUGACGGUACCUGCACAAGAAGCCCCGGCUAACUACGUGCC
RNAcentral lists this ribosomal RNA (138 nucleotides) under uncultured bacterium. Its description in RNAcentral is "partial 16S rRNA". It matches the Rfam family "Bacterial small subunit ribosomal RNA", at positions 353 to 509 of the family's 1533-position model. The record is from RNAcentral.